This 1255-nucleotide long non-coding RNA is filed under the name Callithrix jacchus (white-tufted-ear marmoset). RNAcentral describes it as "lncRNA (ENSCJAG00000079841.1)". Lineage: Eukaryota; Metazoa; Chordata; Mammalia; Primates; Cebidae. The record is from RNAcentral.
AUGCUCAUUUACAUCCUGGACAGAGUCCUUUGGGCUUGCCAGGCCUGCUGUUUCUGCUUCCUACAGCCCAAGACUCUGGGGUGGAACUUUGGCACUGUCUCCCAGGUGACUUCAGUGGGUGAAGUCACAAAGGAAGAGUGCCCUGUGGGAAUGAGGCUCUGGCCUGAGGCACUUGGACUUGGAACCCUGAAGUCUGGCUGGUGGGCUGGAGGAGACAAGACAAGCAGAGAGUGGCCUCGCACCUGGUUGGGACCUGAGGUUUCAGGCACAGCUGAGCAAGGAUAACAUCGACGCAAAGACCUGAGGACAACAGACUCUGAACCCCAUGGGACGCAUCCACUCCUAUUUGCAAACCCCUUUUUCAGAGGACUUCUCUUUCAAGGGGUAAGCUAUCAAGAAAACCAUGACUCAGUGACGUGCUGGAGUCAAAUGGAACCAGAUAAAGAGAACUGUUCAUUCAGUGAUGUCACAUUGGUAGCUGGAAAUGAAUCAUGGUGAAAGUACUUACACCAAAGAAAUCAGAAAACACUGUAUGUCAGAGCUUUCUUUUUCCCUUCCAGAGAAGGGAAAAAGCACAUCACUUUCAGCAUUUCAGAAGUAGGGAAAGAACAAAGAAAAAGUAUUGUGAAGUCAGAAGGCCAAAAAUAAAAGGGAAUGAGAAGGCUAAGUAGUCAGACUUGUACAUUGGGAGGUCAAGGCAGAAGGAUCUCUUGAGACCAGGAGUUUGAGAUCAUCCUGGGCAAUAUAGUGAGACCCAUCUCUACCAAAAAAAUAAAUAAAUAAAAAUUGUCAAAAGCUAUGUAUGUGUCUUUGGAUUGAACAAUUAGGCCAAGGUGACCAGGGAGAAGCAGAUAUCAAUAUGUGGGGCAGAGAGAAGCUACGAAGAAAAGCAGUCAAUGAGAGAAUCAAGUGCAGUGCAGCCACAGGCCUGGGGAGAAAGCUGAAUCAUGGAAGUGGUGGGUAUAGAAGUAGAUAAAGAACCCAGGGCUGAUGGAGAGAGUGGGACACAGGUUGAGAGAAGCCGGGAUAAACCCUAGAGACCUACAAAACAGUAGCCCAAAGAAGACACACAGCAGUUGUUAGGGGGAGGCACUAACAGUGGUGUGCAGAGGGCAAGCAAGUUUCUGUGACAGGUGAGUACAGGAAGGCAGGAGGGUCACUUAGAGGGUGCAGGCUGAGCUGAGCAGGCAAAAGUUAGAAAACAUUGUAAGGGGGAACUAAGGUGACCCAGAAAAUGGGAAAUAGGAAAGCAGGA